RNAcentral lists this long non-coding RNA (1533 nucleotides) under Homo sapiens (human). RNAcentral's name for it is "HSALNT0351662". Lineage: Eukaryota; Metazoa; Chordata; Mammalia; Primates; Hominidae. The record is from RNAcentral.
ACACACACACACAUGCACGCAUGCACACACACACACACAGAAGGUGAACACACAGGAUGAGGCCCUGAAAACUCAUUUCACCCGUGUACCUCACCCAAAAAUUCCCCUUUGUACUCCUAUCUUUAUCUCUAACUGACAGCAUGAAGGUAGCCCGAAGUCCCCUCACCCUGUCUGUCCUCCUGAUUCUCUAGCCCAGUUCCCUCUAGCUCCAGCACAGACUCUUAUCUCCAGCCCUGACUGCCGAAACCCUCCAGCCCCAGCUCCAGCCCCUCAGGAGGGGACUGCGUGGGAGGAAUGACUCCAGCAAGCCGGCAGCUGACCCGUCUCCUGCCUGCACGCCUCCCGCUGUGGUCCACUGCCGGUGGUCUUCAGCUCUCUCCUCGUCCCACCCCCAUGGUCUGCUGACAGCCCAGCUCAGUGCAUCCCUGCCAUCUCUGCUCUACCGCUGGUCCUCCCAACAACCAACUUACAGGUAAGGAAACUGAGGCCCAGAGAGAGGGUGUAUGUGCCUGUGUCACACAGCAACACAGGACUGCACCAUAACAAGAAAGCCGGGACUUCCACUCCCAGACGGGGCUCCUUCCCCAAACAAUCCCUCAGUCACCUCCUCCCUGUAUGGUACCCAGGGAAUGGCCCUUCCAGAUCUGGGCGCUGAGGAGGCUGCCCCAUCCCCACCCUGCCUGGAGCCCCACUCACUCUGCUGAAAUGUCUCUGAUUCUCAGCCUCCGCCUUGGGGGCUUCUCAGUUACAGCGCAUCUUGAUCUUGUUCCUCCGUGACUGUCCCUGGCUCAGCUUCCACCCCCAGCUGGGGCUCAGCUAUCCCUGUGUCCCCAGUCCAGAGCCUGCCUCUCAGCUCUCCCAGGGCGGCCUCGAGCGCUGCUCCUGCUCCUCCAGGGGAGAGGUCAGUAAGGCAGGGGUUUGGCUGGUGCCACUUGAACCAAGUCCAGAUGCACUGCCCAAAAUAACAUCCCUCGUCCGGCCAGCAGUGCCGUGGAGACCGAGUUCUGAAGCAGGCCUUUGUGAGGUCAGAGGUGGAGCUCUGGGUGGGCACUCUGGGCCUCUCAGUCCCAGAGGAAAGGCCUGUCCUCCAAGCCAAUGUGCAGCCUGACUCUGGGGCCAGCGCCUGAGGAAGCCCUCCCUGAGCCCCAGCCCUGGGGAAGGCUGAAGAGGCCUCUGAGCCCCCAGCGCUGGGGAGAGCUGUGCAGAAUAGGACUGGAGGUGGAAGUGUUGGAGAUUAACAGCCAGGUGGAGGGGACGGGGGAGGCCCUGGGUCAGUCCUCAGGGAACCCCCAUUGUGAAGGGGGAAAGGGAAACUCAGGCCCAGUCCUCAGGGGCCCCCAGUCUGAGAGGAAGGAGGACACACGAGCCAUAUUUGCAGAGAAACACCAGCCUGCGAGAGGAGGGCUUGACCCUGGGGACUGAGAGGUGGAGAAGACACAGUCCCAUCUGUCUCACGGCAGAGACAGGUUUGGGGGCACACGUGAAGGUUUGACAUAUAGUAAACACAUGUCAUGGUGGUUUGUUGUACAGAUU